AUUGAACGCUGGCGGCGUGCCUAAUACAUGCAAGUAGGACACAGUUGCGAACGGGUGAGUAACGCGUAGGUAACUGCAGAUUCGAGGGGGAUAACUAUUGGAAACGAUAGCUAAUACCGCAUACUAGUAGAUGGACCUGCGUUGUAUUAGCUAGUAGGUAGGGUAAUGGCCUACCUAGGCGACGAUACAUAGCCGACUGGGGGGGGUGAUCGGCCACACUGGGACUUAGAAACGGCCCAGACUCCUACGGGAGGCAGCAGUAGGGAAUCUUCGGCAAUGGGGGGAACCCUGACCGGGCAACGCCGCGUGAGUGAAGAAGGUUUUCGGAUCGUAAAGCUCUGUUGUUAAGGAAGCGGUACUUAACCAGAAAGGGACGGCUAACGACGUGCCAGCAGCCGCGGUAAUUC
This 407-nucleotide ribosomal RNA is filed under the name uncultured bacterium. Its description in RNAcentral is "partial 16S ribosomal RNA". It matches the Rfam family "Bacterial small subunit ribosomal RNA", at positions 30 to 526 of the family's 1533-position model. The record is from RNAcentral.